RNAcentral lists this ribosomal RNA (238 nucleotides) under Bacillus sp. (in: firmicutes). Its description in RNAcentral is "Bacillus sp. (in: Bacteria) partial 16S ribosomal RNA". It matches the Rfam family "Bacterial small subunit ribosomal RNA", at positions 662 to 898 of the family's 1533-position model. Lineage: Bacteria; Bacillati; Bacillota; Bacilli; Caryophanales; Bacillaceae. The record is from RNAcentral.
AAGAAUUCCACGUGUAGCGGUGAAAUGCGUAGAGAUGUGGAGGAACACCAGUGGCGAAGGCGGCUUUUUGGUCUGUAACUGACGCUGAGGCGCGAAAGCGUGGGGAGCAAACAGGAUUAGAUACCCUGGUAGUCCACGCCGUAAACGAUGAGUGCUAAGUGUUAGAGGGUUUCCGCCCUUUAGUGCUGCAGCUAACGCAUUAAGCACUCCGCCUGGGGAGUACGGUCGCAAGACUGAA